AGGAUGAACGCUAGCGGCAGGCCUAACACAUGCAAGUCGAGGGGUAACGAUGGCUUCGGCCAGGCGACGACCGGCGCACGGGUGAGUAUCGCGUUUGUAACCUGCCUCUAACUGGAGGAUAGCCCGAAGAAAUUCGGAUUAAUACUCCAUAAAGCCAUGAUUUGGCAUCAUUUCAUGGUUAAAGCUCCGGCGGUUAGAGAUGGGCAUGCGUGACAUUAGUUAGUUGGUGAGGUAACGGCUCACCAAGACAACGAUGUCUAGGGGGUCUGAGAGGAUGGUCCCCCACACUGGUACUGAGACACGGACCAGACUCCUACGGGAGGCAGCAGUGAGGAAUAUUGGUCAAUGGGCGCAAGCCUGAACCACCAUGCCGCGUGAAGAUGACAGCCUAUGGGUUGUAAACUUCUUUUGUACGGGAAGAAACACUUCUACGUGUAGAAGCUUGACGGUACCCCGUACGAAAAUAAGCCNANUAUCGGCUAACUCCGUGCCAGCAGCCGCGGUAAUACGGAGGAUGCAAGCGUUAUCCGGAUUCAUUGGGUUUAAAGGGUACGUAGGCGGGAGAUUAAGUCAGUGGUGAAAUCCUGCAGCUUAACUGUGGAACUGUCAUUGAUACUGGUCUUCUUGAAUAUAGUUGAAGUAGGCGGAAUGUGUAAUGUAGCGGUGAAAUGCUUAGAUAUUACACAGAACACCGAUUGCGAAGGCAGCUUACUAAACUAUGAUUGACGCUGAGGUACGAAAGCGUGGGGAGCGAACAGGAUUAGAUACCCUGGUAGUCCACGCUGUAAACGAUGAUCACUCGUUGUUGGCGACAUAUUGUCAGCGACUGAGCGAAAGCAUUAAGUGAUCCACCUGGGGAGUACGAUCGC
RNAcentral lists this ribosomal RNA (869 nucleotides) under uncultured organism. RNAcentral's name for it is "bacterial SSU rRNA". It matches the Rfam family "Bacterial small subunit ribosomal RNA", at positions 26 to 889 of the family's 1533-position model. The record is from RNAcentral.